RNAcentral lists this ribosomal RNA (253 nucleotides) under uncultured bacterium. RNAcentral describes it as "partial 16S ribosomal RNA". It matches the Rfam family "Bacterial small subunit ribosomal RNA", at positions 524 to 776 of the family's 1533-position model. The record is from RNAcentral.
UACGGAGGGUGCAAGCGUUGUCCGGAAUCACUGGGUGUAAAGGGUGUGUAGGCGGAACGAUCAGUCGGAGGUGAAAGCCCGCAGCUUAACUGCGGAAAUGCCCCCGAUACUGUCGAUCUUGAGUCCCGGAGGGGUGGCUGGAAUUCGUGGUGUAGCGGUGAAAUGCGUAGAUAUCACGAGGAACACCUAAGGCGUAGGCAGGUCACUGGACGGGUACUGACGCUGAGGCACGAAAGUGUGGGGAGCAAACAGG